RNAcentral lists this ribosomal RNA (245 nucleotides) under uncultured Acidobacterium sp. RNAcentral describes it as "partial 16S ribosomal RNA". It matches the Rfam family "Bacterial small subunit ribosomal RNA", at positions 524 to 768 of the family's 1533-position model. The record is from RNAcentral. Lineage: Bacteria; Pseudomonadati; Acidobacteriota; Terriglobia; Terriglobales; Acidobacteriaceae.
UACGGGGGGAGCAAGCGUUGUUCGGAUUUACUGGGCGUAAAGGGCGCGUAGGCGGCGCAACAAGUCACUUGUGAAAUCUCCGGGCUUAACCCGGAGCGGCCAAGUGAUACUGUCGUGCUAGAGUGCGGAAGGGGCUACUGGAAUUCUCGGUGUAGCGGUGAAAUGCGUAGAUAUCGAGAGGAACACCUGCGGCGAAGGCGGGUAGCUGGGCCGACACUGACGCUGAGGCGCGAAAGCCAGGGGAG